This 102-nucleotide small nuclear RNA is filed under the name Procavia capensis (Cape rock hyrax). Lineage: Eukaryota; Metazoa; Chordata; Mammalia; Hyracoidea; Procaviidae. The record is from RNAcentral.
GUGUUCACUUUGGCAGCAGCACAUACUAAAACUGGAACUAUACAGAGAUUAGCAUGACCUUCACACAAAAAUGAUGAGCAAAUUCACAAAGCAUUAUUUUUU